Pomacea canaliculata is the source of this 1466-nucleotide long non-coding RNA. RefSeq lists it as uncharacterized. The transcript has 3 exons. Lineage: Eukaryota; Metazoa; Mollusca; Gastropoda; Architaenioglossa; Ampullariidae. The record is from RefSeq and is a predicted model, not a curated record.
UGCGAGCUCAGGACAGUGACCCUCCCACCACCGGUUACUUGCCCUUUGUUGUUGUUUGAUGUUGCCCCUACAGGCCACUUGGCACUGUCAGGGUGAUGAGGACGUGGGAAACAUGGCUAAAAAAAUAUGAACGGGGUAAGGAGAGGAUAUGGGAGGUAGUGGCAGGGUCAAAGGUCGGUUGGGGCGUUGGUAUUAAUUACUGAGUUGGUACCGUUCUCUGCAGAUGGCGUUCCUCGUCUGCUCUACAAUCCUGGAGGCCGGCCAGGCUCUCAGUGGUGACCUCUGCUGUUGUCAGGGAUCACCGGAAUGAAGUAGACCAUGUGGUGACGCGGUCCCCUAGUGACGUCAGCACCUAACUGUCAACUGUAGACUGCGCACCUGGCGGAGGCCUACGUGACAUCACGGGGGAGUAACCUUUCCCUCCCACCGCGCGCUGCACUCAUCUGCCGUCAAUGUGGGUCACAGGUUAUGACCUGAACUUCAUGGCGUUGCAGGAGGAACCUGACCGUCACGUGCCACUUCCCCUGAGGUAGGCGCAUCUUUGAAGUUGAGGGAUUCAUUUAGUGGCACAUGUGUUUUCCCACAAGAUGCAAGGAAAUAAAAGUGCGGGACCGUUUUGGCUGAGAAACCCGAGUGACUUCUACAUUGAAUCCAAGGCGUCGUGAAGACGGAAAAUACUGUGGGUGGUCUUUGGCCACAGUCCCAUGAUGCUCCAUUCUGUGUGAGUGAGACAGAGAGAGCGAAAGAAUGAGAUAGAGACGUGAAACGUCAUCCACUGAGAGGUAUUCCUCGUUCACAUAGACGAUUAAGUUAUGUGGUAUGCUACGAAAUUCGUGUUACUGUGGGAUAAUCCUUGAGUUAUUCUCUUCAUUUUUCGAAGACAUCAAUUUCUUGCACACUUAAAAAUUGUAUGGCUAAUUAGGUAAAUGUUUUAAUAAAUCAAAAACGUAUCAAGUGCUCAACUCCAGCCCUCUUCCGUUCAUAGCUCCUUCCCUACUCGUCUUCCUCUACUGAUUCACGACACUCUUAGUUCUUGUUACAUGAUUCACCUUUGCUUUGUCUAUAUUUGUCUUUUAUCAUUCCGUUCCUUCAUCUGUUGUCCGUCUCUUCCUUGUCUCAAGCGCUAAGACCACGCUCCUUACUUGCGUGAAUAUGUCUCUCCAAAUCACAAGUUUAAUUAUUAUUAUUAAAACUUAAUAACUUUAAAUGUUUACAUCGUGAGAUAAAGCAUAAAAAUAAUUUACAUAUUGAAUGUUUGCAUUUUAAAUUGCUUGUUUAUUUUAAGCUAGGGGUGGACUUUGUGCUGACCGUAGUUUAAUUCCUCUCUAAAAAUAAAGUCUGACAUUGUGGUGACGUCAGUAAUCUCCCUGUUGAUACCACAGCUAUCCUUGAGAUGUGUGCGAUAAUUCUUCUAUACAUUAAUUUUUUUCUAUAAAUCGAAGAAUAGAUUGCCUCUUGCACAAGGC